GAUGAACGCUGGCGGCGUGCUUAACACAUGCAAGUCGAACGGAAAGACCCUGCUUUUGUUGGGCGCUCGAUUGGCGAACGGGUGAGUGACACGCGAGUAUCCUGCCCUUGACUUUGUGAUAUCUUCAGGAGACUGGGGCUCAUACCGGGUAUGAUCUCCUGCUCCAUGGUGUGGGUUGGUGAAUUUCGGCUGUGGGGGAUCGACUCGCUGCUUAUCCGCUUGUUGGUGUGGUAGUUGCUUACCAAGGCUUUGACGGGUAGCCGGCCUGAGAGGGGGGACGGGCACAUGAGGACUGAGAGACGGCGCAGACUCCUACGGGAGGCAGUAGUGGAGAAUAUUGCACAACGGGCGCAAGCCUGAUGCAGCAACGCCGCGUGCGGGAUGACGGGCUUCGGGUGGUAAACAGCUUUCGCCUGUGACGAAGCGUGAGUGACGGUAAUGGGUAAAGAAGCACCGGCUAACUACGUG
Molecule: ribosomal RNA, 468 nt
Filed under: uncultured bacterium
Lineage: Bacteria
Description: partial 16S ribosomal RNA
Rfam family: Bacterial small subunit ribosomal RNA
Source: RNAcentral